Tribolium castaneum (red flour beetle) is the source of this 2185-nucleotide long non-coding RNA. RefSeq lists it as uncharacterized. The record is from RefSeq and is a predicted model, not a curated record. Lineage: Eukaryota; Metazoa; Arthropoda; Insecta; Coleoptera; Tenebrionidae. The transcript has 3 exons.
UUCUAAAAUAUGAGUUAUGUUAUCUAUUGGUACAAGUGCAUACAAUCAUCAGCAUAUCUAUAAUAAAUCAAAGGGAAUAUUGUUAAAACCAGUAGUUUCAAGCUCAGCAAUAACAGGACUAAAGAUGUUUAAACAUUGUGAAGUCAUUAGUGUUUCAUUAAGCGGUUUGUCUCUAAAACGAGCCAAAAUGGAGGUUACCUGAGGGUAAGACGGAAUCAAUGACACUCGUGUUAUAUUUUGAUUGAUUUGAGGAGGAAGCAAAGUCGUAUUGUCUGUAAAUGGAUGUGAAAAAAUUGCGUGAAACAUUAUCACAUCGAAAAUAGGAUGUCAAUAAGAAUCCCGCAUUGUUUGAAUCGAAUUUUAGCGUAGACUGCAUUCUCAUUUUCUCUCGUCUCGAUAUUUCCGAGCAUCCAUUCUCGCUGUCGCUUGUCUAAAGUGAUAAUUUAAGGCACAAAGAUAUCACCUGCGCAUCUGGGAUUAAAUAUCGAUUUAGGCGUUUGCGCCGCUAUAAAAUUCUAGCCGUAAAAGUGAAAUGUAUGCAUAAAUCGAGGGAAUAUUUGAUGAAAUGCAGAUGUGACGCAGUGUGUCAUAUCCUUUGCAAGAUUUGUUUACAGAGAUAGGCCCCGGUGUAAAUCAAUAACCCCGCUAUGGGCUACCAACAGGGACGUUACCACUAAUCAUCUGAUAUACUGGCACGGCCCCUGUAUAUGUUGCGACCUCGCCACUAAUACCUUACCACCAACGAGAUAUUCAUUGGAUAAAAACAAAUCUAUUGCCCCUCUAUGCCGGCUUUGUUUAUUGGAAACUACAAAUUUAGCGGAAUAUUUAAAUUGCUCAGACCUGGAGGAAAUGGUCGCUGUCUUUGUGCGCCUGCAGAUAAAAGCGGCCUUCUCAAUUUCCUAGCUUUCGAUGAUAAAUUCCGCCUUGUAACGGUUUCUGCCCCUAUACCUAACUGCGGGCUUUCAUCCCACCGGAUUUUAUUUACGAAAGAAUUCUUUUUGAGCUUAAACGUAAAAAACACGAGAAAAUAGUCCAUUUCCACUCGCCUCUAAUUGAUACAUCCGUAAAACACACAAAGUCGCUCGGAACAAUUUUAUAUUUCUAUAAAACCCUGUCGUAAAACAAGUCAAUUUUAAAUGACACGGUGAUACGAAAGUGUGCGCGGAUUUACAAUGAUGACUCAAUAAACAAAUAAAAUUUUCCGAUCGAUCGUAAAUUGGAGCUCUGCAUCUGCUCUAAAACGGUUGUAACUUCAAGUUGGAAAAAUUUAUUGCAACGAAAUCGACGACUUUGUUGACCCAUUAUUUUUAAACAUUGACAGAUUGUUGAAAAAUGAAUCGAAAAUGCACCAUCAUCUACGUGACUUUGAACAGGUAGAUUGACUAAACAAUGGAGCCAGAUUUCAUCUUUUCUAUGCAAGGUGCGCUGCGGUAAUUAGCGUGUCUAAUAAAGGAUUCAAGUUAAAUUUUGCGGUUAAAUUCUUAUGGAAGAUAACUUUUCGUGACCGUAAACGAGCGGCGUUUUUUCUUCACUUCUAAAAUAAUUCAAGACUAAUACCUCCAUUAUAAAGUUUCAUUGCACUUAAAGGCACUGUUUUUUAAUCUUAAAUGAUAAUGAGACUUUUAUUGUCUGAACACUGUUGAUUUACAAUUACUAGCAAAACACGCAAUGACCCAUUUAGUGCAUAGUAGCUACAAAACUCCACUUGAAGAUUUUUCCAACAAUGAAAUGCUAAUUAACUGGCAAAGUCAAAUGCAACAAAAGCUAUUUCAACUUUUCCUUUGAAACGAGAAUAAUAACAAAUUUGCAUUUUUUGCUCAAUGGAAAAUUCACAAAAGAAGGCACGAAAACUUUUACAGAAUCAACAGUUUUUUAAUUUUUUGUCUCAAUUUGAAUUGGUUACGUAAAUACCACUCUGGAAAUUUUUCUACUUCUGUUUGCAAUUUGUUAUUGCACCGAAAUUGUGAUGUGGUUGCAAGCUUUGGUUGUUGUUUCAGGUUGAAAUUGAAAUAGAACAUUCCAGUCUGAAUUGUAAUUUUAUGGUGUUUUUGUUGCCGUUAUGUCAUAUUUAAUAUCCGGGGCUCGUGACCAAGUACACAAUUCUUUGACGAAAAUCUGCUUUUCGAAACAACACUGAAAUGAAAUUAUUGUGACGCGACUACGGAGAACUAUAACUUAGGAGAAG